This 1509-nucleotide ribosomal RNA is filed under the name Salmonella enterica subsp. enterica serovar Enteritidis. RNAcentral's name for it is "partial 23S ribosomal RNA". It matches the Rfam family "Bacterial large subunit ribosomal RNA", at positions 1310 to 2802 of the family's 2925-position model. The record is from RNAcentral. Lineage: Bacteria; Pseudomonadati; Pseudomonadota; Gammaproteobacteria; Enterobacterales; Enterobacteriaceae.
CGAUAAAGCGGGUGAAAAGCCCGCUCGCCGGAAGACCAAGGGUUCCUGUCCAACGUUAAUCGGGGCAGGGUGAGUCGACCCCUAAGGCGAGGCCGAAAGGCGUAGUCGAUGGGAAACGGGUUAAUAUUCCCGUACUUGGUGUUACUGCGAAGGGGGGACGGAGAAGGCUAUGUUGGCCGGGCGACGGUUGUCCCGGUUUAAGCGUGUAGGUGUGUGUUCCAGGUAAAUCCGGUUCACUUUAACACUGAGGCGUGACGACGAGGCACUACGGUGCUGAAGCAACAAAUGCCCUGCUUCCAGGAAAAGCCUCUAAGCAUCAGGUAACAUCAAAUCGUACCCCAAACCGACACAGGUGGUCAGGUAGAGAAUACCAAGGCGCUUGAGAGAACUCGGGUGAAGGAACUAGGCAAAAUGGUGCCGUAACUUCGGGAGAAGGCACGCUGACACGUAGGUGAAGUGAUUUACUCAUGGAGCUGAAGUCAGUCGAAGAUACCAGCUGGCUGCAACUGUUUAUUAAAAACACAGCACUGUGCAAACACGAAAGUGGACGUAUACGGUGUGACGCCUGCCCGGUGCCGGAAGGUUAAUUGAUGGGGUCAGCGCAAGCGAAGCUCCUGAUCGAAGCCCCGGUAAACGGCGGCCGUAACUAUAACGGUCCUAAGGUAGCGAAAUUCCUUGUCGGGUAAGUUCCGACCUGCACGAAUGGCGUAAUGAUGGCCAGGCUGUCUCCACCCGAGACUCAGUGAAAUUGAACUCGCUGUGAAGAUGCAGUGUACCCGCGGCAAGACGGAAAGACCCCGUGAACCUUUACUAUAGCUUGACACUGAACAUUGAGCCUUGAUGUGUAGGAUAGGUGGGAGGCUUUGAAGUGUGGACGCCAGUCUGCAUGGAGCCGACCUUGAAAUACCACCCUUUAAUGUUUGAUGUUCUAACGUGGACCCGUUACCCGGGUUGCGGACAGUGUCUGGUGGGUAGUUUGACUGGGGCGGUCUCCUCCUAAAGAGUAACGGAGGAGCACGAAGGUUGGCUAAUCCUGGUCGGACAUCAGGAGGUUAGUGCAAUGGCAUAAGCCAGCUUGACUGCGAGCGUGACGGCGCGAGCAGGUGCGAAAGCAGGUCAUAGUGAUCCGGUGGUUCUGAAUGGAAGGGCCAUCGCUCAACGGAUAAAAGGUACUCCGGGGAUAACAGGCUGAUACCGCCCAAGAGUUCAUAUCGACGGCGGUGUUUGGCACCUCGAUGUCGGCUCAUCACAUCCUGGGGCUGAAGUAGGUCCCAAGGGUAUGGCUGUUCGCCAUUUAAAGUGGUACGCGAGCUGGGUUUAGAACGUCGUGAGACAGUUCGGUCCCUAUCUGCCGUGGGCGCUGGAGAACUGAGGGGGGCUGCUCCUAGUACGAGAGGACCGGAGUGGACGCAUCACUGGUGUUCGGGUUGUCAUGCCAAUGGCACUGCCCGGUAGCUAAAUGCGGAAGAGAUAAGUGCUGAAAGCAUCUAAGCACGAAACUUGCCCCGA